This 301-nucleotide ribosomal RNA is filed under the name uncultured bacterium. Its description in RNAcentral is "partial 16S ribosomal RNA". It matches the Rfam family "Bacterial small subunit ribosomal RNA", at positions 509 to 807 of the family's 1533-position model. The record is from RNAcentral.
CAGCAGCCACGGGAAUACGUAGGUGGCAAGCGUUGUCCGGAAUUAUUGGGCGUAAAGGGCUCGCAGGCGGUUUCUUAAGUCUGAUGUGAAAGCCCCCGGCUCAACCGGGGAGGGUCAUUGGAAACUGGGAAACUUGAGUGCAGAAGAGGAGAGUGGAAUUCCACGUGUAGCGGUGAAAUGCGUAGAGAUGUGGAGGAACACCAGUGGCGAAGGCGACACUCUGGCCUGUAACUGACGCUGAGGAGCGAAAGCGUGGGGAGCGAACAGGAUUAGAGACCCCGGUAGUCCCUGUCUCUUAUAC